This 492-nucleotide ribosomal RNA is filed under the name uncultured bacterium. Its description in RNAcentral is "bacterial SSU rRNA". It matches the Rfam family "Bacterial small subunit ribosomal RNA", at positions 903 to 1397 of the family's 1533-position model. The record is from RNAcentral.
AAAUGAAUAGACGGGGGCCCGCACAAGCAGUGGAGUAUGUUGUUUAAUUCGACGCAACGCGAAGAACCUUACCAGGGCUUGACAUCCUCUGAUCGCUGUAGAGAUACAGUUUCCCUUCGGGGCAGAGAGACAGGUGGUGCAUGGUUGUCGUCAGCUCGUGUCGUGAGAUGUUAGGUUAAGUCCUGCAACGAGCGCAACCCCUAUUGUCUGUUGCCAUCAGUUAAAGCUGGGCACUCAGGCGAGACCGCCGUUGACAAAACGGAGGAAGGUGGGGACGACGUCAAAUCAUCAUGCCCCUUAUGUCCUGGGCUACAAACGUACUACAAUGGUCGCGACAGAGGGCAGCUACACCGCGAGGUGAUGCGAAUCCCUAAACGCGAUCUCAGUUCGGAUUGCAGGCUGCAACUCGCCUGCAUGAAGUCGGAAUUGCUAGUAAUGGCAGGUCAGCAUACUGCCGUGAAUACGUUCCCGGGCCUUGUACACACCGCCCGU